ACGCUCGACACCUACGGGAGACAGCAGUGGGGAAUAUUGCACAAUGGGGGAAACCCUGAUGCAGCGACGCCGCGUGAAGGAAGAAGUAUUUCGGUAUGUAAACUUCUAUCAGCAGGGAAGAAAAUGACGGUACCUGACUAAGAAGCCCCGGCUAACUACGUGCCAGCAGGGGUAAUCUGAGCGGGCUGGCAAGGC
Molecule: ribosomal RNA, 195 nt
Filed under: uncultured bacterium
Lineage: Bacteria
Description: partial 16S ribosomal RNA
Rfam family: Bacterial small subunit ribosomal RNA
Source: RNAcentral